GCGAAAGUAGCUCAAUGGCUAGAGCGUAACGUUGCCAACGUUAAGGUUGAGGGUUCGAUCCCCUUCUUUCGCU
Molecule: transfer RNA, 73 nt
Filed under: Ophirina amphinema
Lineage: Eukaryota; Jakobea; Jakobida; Ophirinidae
Description: tRNA-Gly
Rfam family: tRNA
About the family: Transfer RNA (tRNA) molecules are approximately 80 nucleotides in length.
Source: RNAcentral